RNAcentral lists this ribosomal RNA (464 nucleotides) under uncultured bacterium. RNAcentral describes it as "partial 16S ribosomal RNA". It matches the Rfam family "Bacterial small subunit ribosomal RNA", at positions 339 to 795 of the family's 1533-position model. The record is from RNAcentral.
CUACGGGGGGCUCCAGUGGGGAAUUUUGGACAAUGGGCGCAAGCCUGAUCCAGCCAUUCCGCGUGAGUGAAGAAGGCCUUCGGGUUGUAAAGCUCUUUCGCAAGGGAAGAAAACUUAUCCUCUAACAUAGGGUGAGGUUGACGGUACCUUGAUAAGAAGCACCGGCUAAAUACGUGCCAGCAGCCGCGGUAAUACGUAGGGUGCGAGCGUUAAUCGGAAUUACUGGGCGUAAAGCGUGCGCAGGCUGUUUUGUAAGUCAGAUGUGAAAUCCCCGAGCUCAACUUGGGAACUGCGUUUGAAACUACAAGACUAGAAUAUGUCAGAGGGGGGUAGAAGUCCAUGUGUAGCAGUGAAAUGCGUAGAGAUGUGGAGGAAUACCAAUGGCGAAGGCAGCCCCCUGGGAUAAUAUUGACGCUCAUGCACGAAAGCGUGGGGAGCAAACAGGAUUAGAUACCCUGGUAGUC